RNAcentral lists this ribosomal RNA (87 nucleotides) under Citrobacter koseri. RNAcentral describes it as "partial 23S ribosomal RNA". It matches the Rfam family "Bacterial large subunit ribosomal RNA", at positions 2839 to 2925 of the family's 2925-position model. Lineage: Bacteria; Pseudomonadati; Pseudomonadota; Gammaproteobacteria; Enterobacterales; Enterobacteriaceae. RNAcentral also lists the same sequence under 47 other names. The record is from RNAcentral.
UGAAGACGACGACGUUGAUAGGCCGGGUGUGUAAGCGCAGCGAUGCGUUGAGCUAACCGGUACUAAUGAACCGUGAGGCUUAACCUU